AUGCUUUUUUCAAUAGUCUGCAUACUCAUUUAGGAAAAAUACAUGGAUGAUCAGCAUAAAUCCUGGUCAAGGAUGACACACAAUUUCAUGACACAUUCCAUACUUCU
Molecule: small nuclear RNA, 107 nt
Filed under: Microcebus murinus (gray mouse lemur)
Lineage: Eukaryota; Metazoa; Chordata; Mammalia; Primates; Cheirogaleidae
Source: RNAcentral